This is a long non-coding RNA of Etheostoma cragini (Arkansas darter), 125 nucleotides long. RefSeq lists it as uncharacterized. NCBI's taxonomy places the organism in Eukaryota, Metazoa, Chordata, Actinopteri, Perciformes, Percidae. The record is from RefSeq and is a predicted model, not a curated record. The transcript is spliced from 3 exons.
CUAAAUCAGGAAGCGUGACUAAACAAUAAACAGUUUACAAUAAUUGGACUUAAUACACUUAUUGACUUAAGUGGAAGCAGGCUGAAAGCACAGACAUGCUGGAGUUUGCUGCUACGCUGUUAUUA